RNAcentral lists this ribosomal RNA (254 nucleotides) under uncultured bacterium. RNAcentral's name for it is "partial 16S ribosomal RNA". It matches the Rfam family "Bacterial small subunit ribosomal RNA", at positions 524 to 776 of the family's 1533-position model. The record is from RNAcentral.
UACGGAGGGUGCGAGCGUUGUCCGGAAUCACUGGGCGUAAAGGGCGCGCAGGCGGCUGCUCAAGUCAGGCGUGAAAGGCCUGGGCUCAACCCGGGAAUUGCGCUUGAGACUGGGCUGGCUUGAGUGCGGGAGAGGAUGGUGGAAUUCCCAGUGUAGAGGUGAAAUUCGUAGAUAUUGGGAAGAACACCGGUGGCGAAGGCGGCCAUCUGGACCGCAACUGACGCUGAGGCGCGAAAGCGUGGGGAGCAAACAGG